RNAcentral lists this transfer RNA (83 nucleotides) under Elusimicrobiota bacterium. Its description in RNAcentral is "Elusimicrobia bacterium tRNA-Leu". It matches the Rfam family "tRNA". From Rfam's summary of the family: Transfer RNA (tRNA) molecules are approximately 80 nucleotides in length. Their secondary structure includes four short double-helical elements and three loops (D, anti-codon, and T loops). Lineage: Bacteria; Pseudomonadati; Elusimicrobiota. The record is from RNAcentral.
GGGCUUGUGGCGGAACGGCAGACGCGACGGACUUAAAAUCCGUUGGCCGCAAGGCCGUGUGGGUUCGAUUCCCACCAAGCCCA